Micropterus dolomieu (smallmouth bass) is the source of this 275-nucleotide long non-coding RNA. RefSeq lists it as uncharacterized. The record is from RefSeq and is a predicted model, not a curated record. The transcript has 3 exons. Lineage: Eukaryota; Metazoa; Chordata; Actinopteri; Centrarchiformes; Centrarchidae.
CAUCAUCAGCCAACUUUAUCUUGAAUCUUAUUGAAACAGGACUGAGGAAAGUAAUUGAAAACCGAAGAAAACAUUAAGGAGACGCUCAAGGAAUAGUGGUCAAGAUGUUGAUCACCAUGCUAACAGCCAUGUAUGUGAUGGUCAGAGUCGUAGAAUCGAUAGGGGUACGUUUUGCACGGCAACAGGACCCUUUGCCUUACAUGGUGUCCCAGCCUUUGCCUUGGCAGGUUCACUCAGUGUCACACAGUCGGAGGAGCAGCAAAGUUGAUGAGGUU